This is a ribosomal RNA of Sinocyclocheilus anshuiensis, 117 nucleotides long. The record is from Ensembl. NCBI's taxonomy places the organism in Eukaryota, Metazoa, Chordata, Actinopteri, Cypriniformes, Cyprinidae.
GCCGGUAGCCAUAUCACCCUGUAGCCCAAGCCUGGUCGCCCACUGAAGCUAAACAGGGCUGAGCCUGGUCAGUACCUGGAUGGGAGACCUCCUGGGAAAACUAGGUUGCUGCUGGAA